CAACCACUCAAGCCUAGCUUGGUAUUGGGCAUCGUUGUGCUUUAAUUCUCUGUUAUUCAGAGAAGGCAACGUGCCUUAAAUAUAGACAGCGGCAAGUAUAAGUUCCGAGCGUAGCAGUAAAACAUUUCGCUUUAGGUAUUUUGUACAUUGUCAGCUAAAUAGUUAGCCAUGCUAUUA
RNAcentral lists this unclassified non-coding RNA (177 nucleotides) under uncultured fungus. RNAcentral describes it as "sequence contains ITS2". The record is from RNAcentral. RNAcentral also lists the same sequence under 1 other name. Lineage: Eukaryota; Fungi.